This 2641-nucleotide long non-coding RNA is filed under the name Gossypium barbadense (sea-island cotton). RNAcentral describes it as "long non-coding RNA (GBAR_LNC000796)". The record is from RNAcentral. Lineage: Eukaryota; Viridiplantae; Streptophyta; Magnoliopsida; Malvales; Malvaceae.
AAAAUUUCAGCUAGGUUAUUCCUUGCAAGUAAGUGAUUUUAAUGACUUUUUUUGCUGAUUUUUACAUUUUUGGGACCACUAAAGCUUAAUCUAGCUAUUGAGGGGACUAUUUUGCAAAAUGGUUGAGAGUUUAAGGUUUUUCCAUGAAAGAAUGUGUGUUAUUAACUGAAAUUUUAUGGAAGAAUACGAGUCUUGGCUGUGUAAUAAACAACUCUUGUGAAAGGAUUUUUAUGGAAAACACCUAAAAGGGUCAUUUUGUGAAAGUUAUAAAACAGAUUGUAAUUGUGUGAAAUAGUGAAAAUUUUGGGUUGUCAUAAGACUAAUAAUUGGUCGGUUAGGCUUGGCUAAUAAGGAAAUUUGAUAAAAAAUUGAUUUCCGGGCCUAAGGGUAAAAUGGUCAUUUUAUGAAAGUCUAGAGGCAAAAUGGUCAUUUUGCCAAAAAUGUGAAUUUUGAUUGUCCAAAUUUAUUUAGUGAUUAAAUGAGUAAAUAUCAUCAUUUUAGAUCAUGAAAAUCGAGAUUUGGGCUUAAAUCGAGAAAGUACGUAGUUAAGGACAAAAAGAGAAUAAUUAGCUGAAAUUGCAUUUGAGGUAAGUCCGUGUGAUUAAAUGAGCACGAUAUUUAUGCCAUUGUUAUUAUACUUGAAAAUCUAUCUUGCCAUGAUUGUAUUAAAGUUUAUGUUGAUGAUAUUGUAUAUGAGAAAGUGAUGUCAAAUGUAAAUAACACUUAUGUGUUGAUUGAAUGUUUGGAUAUUUGAUGGAAUAUGAUAUUCCAUUGAAACGAGUAAGUUGUAUGUAAAUAAUACUACAUUGUUAUUAUAUGUGUUUAAAUUGAUAUAGCAUGAAUUGCUUGGUUGUGGAAAUGAUUAUGUAUGAUGAAUAUUGAUAUAGUAGAAUUCCCAUUGAACCUUAAGAAACAAUUCGGAUGUUCAUGCCAUGACAUUCGGGUUAUUUGUGUGCUAGUGUAAGACAUGUCUUGGACAUGCAUCGGCCACAUUAUGAGAGCCAAUGUAAGACCAUAUCUGGGACAUGGCAUCGGCAUUGAGAUGAGACCUAGUGUAAGACAUGUCUGGGACAUGCAUCGGCCUCGAGAUGUAAGCCAAUGUAAGACAUGUUUGGGACAUGCAUCAGCUACGAUAUGUGUCAGUGUAAGACCAUGUUUGGGACAUGGAAUCGGCACGGAUAUGUGAGAGUUAGUGUAAGACCAUGUCUGGGACAUGGCAUCGACAUUAUACCCUAUAUUUGAGGCUUAGUGAAUAUCCGAUAGCUUUCUGAAUGGUUCAACGGUGAGAGUUACGGUUUAAGCUAAAUGAGAAAGGUUAUGACCAUAUUGUGAGUGGUACAGGUACUUACAUGAAAUUGAUGAGAUGUGAAUUCAAUUCAUGUUAUAUGAUUAGUAAGGAAUGAAUAUGAGCAUGUUGAGUAACACAAGUAUGUAUGCCAAGCUCAUGAGAAAUAAUUUCAGUUUAUGAUGCACAUUUGGUGAAGAUGUAAAUAGGUAAUUCAUGCCUAUGAGAAUGAUUUUGAGAUGACCUUGUGAUUAUAGGUCUACACUUAUGAUGUAUGAAUAUGUAGCCUUACCAAUGUGGUGAAAACGAAUUAAUAUGGUGUGAUAAACUUAGUAUCAUUAAUUUACACUAAAACAGUUUUGGAUAGCAGCCAUAAUUCGACUUUAAAAAUCCACCAAAAAUUUUGAAAAUUGAGUUAGAGGCUGAAUAAAAUAUUAAAUUAAAUCCCUAUGAGUCUAGUUUCACAUAGAAGAAGCGGUGUAAGAAAAAGAGUUUCAUAUUAUGAAAUAUUUAAAUUGUUGUGAGAUAGAGUCAGAAUGACUUCGAAAUCCCCUGUUCCGAUUUGAGAAAAUCAUUGGAAAUUGUAAAAAAAUAUUUAUGGGUUAUAAUUUAUAUGCUUAUAAUUCUUAAUGAGUCUAUUUUCAACAGAAAUAGAAGGGAACAUCAUCCGAGUCUUCUAUUAUGAGAUAAUUAAUUUUUAGUGAAGAGGGGUCGGAACUGUUAGACAACAAAAAAGGGGUAACUUUAAAGAAUAAACUGUACUAAUUGGCUGAACCAAAAAUUAUGAAAAUUUUAUGGUAAGAAUAUGUGAGUCUAGUUUCAGGGAAAAUUAGAAAAACUUAAUUUGGAGUUCCGUAGCUCCAGAUAUAAAUAAUUUAGUGACUGUGACUCGAGAAAACAGCUUGACUAGAACAUGAGUAAAAAUGCAAAUAGGGUUGUAUUACCAUGAGAAGCAAGUUGAUAAAUUGCUUAUUAUUUUCAUACGGUCUUACUAAGCUAUAAAGCUUACUCCCUUCAUUUCUUUCCUUUUAGUGUUUUUAGGUUAGCUCAGGGUUGGAGAUCGUCGGAGGCAGCAUCACACUAUCAAGUCGCUACCUUUGAAUAAUGAAGCAUAUAUUAGAAAUUUCAAGUGAGUGACAUGUAUAGGUAUUUAGUUGACUGACAUGUAUUAUUUUAAUUUGGCCAAAUGUGUUGGCUUAUAUUGAGUUAUAUGAAUAUGGCCAUGAGAUGUGGCUCAUAUUGAUUAUGGCUUGUAAGCUUAGCUAUUCAUGUCAUGUAUAAUGUUUAUAAUGUGACUAUGUUUGUUUGCCAUGCAUGGUUAGUAAUAUGACAUGUGUAUGGGAUGUAUGCUCUAUA